AUACGGAGGGGGCUAGCGUUGUUCGGAAUUACUGGGCGUAAAGCGUACGUAUGCGGACUGAUCAGUUGUGGGUGAAAUCCCAGGGCUUAACCCUGGAACUGCCUCUAAUACUGCCAGUCUUGAGUUCGGGAGAGGUGAGUGGAAUUCCUAGUGUAGAGGUGAAAUUCGUAGAUAUUAGGAAGAACACCAGUGGCGAAGGCGGCUCACUGGCCCGAUACUGACGCUGAGGCGCGAAAGCGUGGGGAGCAAACAGGAUUAGAAACCCUAGUAGUCC
RNAcentral lists this ribosomal RNA (274 nucleotides) under uncultured bacterium. Its description in RNAcentral is "partial 16S ribosomal RNA". It matches the Rfam family "Bacterial small subunit ribosomal RNA", at positions 523 to 796 of the family's 1533-position model. The record is from RNAcentral.